UGGAGUUACAGAUGGUUGUGAGCCAUCAUG
This 30-nucleotide non-coding RNA is filed under the name Mus musculus (house mouse). Lineage: Eukaryota; Metazoa; Chordata; Mammalia; Rodentia; Muridae. The record is from RNAcentral.